This 98-nucleotide microRNA precursor is filed under the name Sus scrofa (pig). RNAcentral describes it as "mir-544 microRNA precursor family". It matches the Rfam family "mir-544 microRNA precursor family". Lineage: Eukaryota; Metazoa; Chordata; Mammalia; Artiodactyla; Suidae. The record is from Rfam by way of RNAcentral.
AUCACCUGGGGAUCUUCUUAAAAUGCAGAUUCUAAUUCAGCAGAUCUGGGGUGAAGCCUAAGAUUCUACAUUUCUGAUAGGCUCCCAUGUGAUGCUAA